CCGGGGCCUGGCGCGGGGAGCGGCGCCCCGAGGCGGCGGGAGGGGGUCCGGCCGCCUGUUCCCCGGGCCGGGAGCCGCCGCCGGGACCGGGAGGCUGCGCUUCGGGCGCCGGGACCCAGGGUACCUCACACGGCGCAGCGGCGGCCGCCUCGCUCUGUUGGCGCCGGGCCGAGCCGCCCGCCCGCGGCCCCUGAGGUAAACAGAGCCCUGUGCCUCCCUGAAAUGAGAAGCAGCUCCCAGGCUGUGACGGCUGGGAUCCAAUGUGUCCAGCCAGAGACUCCCUGUUCGCACUGCUGAUAAUCCUGCUGAUGGGAGUCAGGAUUCAGAUGGCACCAUAUCCCCCGACAGAAACCAAGGCAAGCACAGCUUUAAGUGAACCUUUAUGUGUGUUUGAUCUAGCACAUGUUUGAUCAUGAAACAAUCCUGUGGGAAUAGAAAUGAACACCCGCAAGUGGCCAGCUUUAGGAGGUUAAACUGAGGGGUAUCCACACUGGGAACCCUAGUGUGGCUGGAGUUUAAUAGAGGCUGAGGCGUUAGAAUGUUAUGGGGUUUGCACUGGCAUGAAGUUCUUGCAUAAAUACCAUCACUCUGUUUCUGGCUGGCCUGAAAAUUCCACUGCAUUCCAGUCAAUAGACAUAGACCAGGUGGGUGGGUGGGUUUGGGGGGUUUGUUUCUUUGCUUUGGGAUUUUUUCCUUUCUAUUUUAUUUGGUCCAGUGCUAUACUAGAGAAAUAACUUGGUCUCCCGAGUCCUGGAGUGAGCUGGGAAGCUCUAGCUAGUGCAGAGCACUGCUGUUUCUCCACAGUGGUGUGAUGCACCAAUCUCACAUUUCCUAGUUAACUGUGGCAAGAUGUUUUGAUCCUAUUCAAUAUUCUCAUCUUUCUCCACCAGGAAAGGUCCCAGGUUACUUAAGGUUUAACUGAAAGUUCCAUACUUGGAUCCCAGGUUACUUUAAGUUCCGUAUGUAUCCUGGAGUAAGGACUGCAGGUGACAGCUGGAUUUGUGGCAUGCUGGAAUUCUCCACAAUACAGGUAAAGUAGUUAUUUGCCAGGUACAGAUGUUUUUUCAGAGGCUGGUGUUGAACAGUGAAAUGGAAUCUGUGACGAAUUCGGGACCUCAAGGAACUUAUUUCAAGUAAACCAGCAUUUUUUGAUGCAGCUUUCCUCCAAUACGUAAAGAAAACAGUUGUAUGAAAUAUAUAGAGCAAAACCUUUUGUACACUCCAGCACUUAAAUUCUCUUCCCUUGGGAACAUGUAAGAACAUUUGGACAGCUCUUAAUCACUUUUGUUGAUUCACUGCUUUGAGGAUGUGCAUCCAGCGUUGAUGCACACUGUGUUUUGAGUAACACAAUGUCAGGAGUUCAGCUGAAACCUGGGCUUUUCUGGUGGCAUGUGGAAGUUGAAGGAAUUGCUUUUGCUGUGCUCUGUUGGGGGCGGGUAAAUCCUUUAGUUGCAGUAAGAUCCUCGAAGGAGUGAACUUGUGGAGCGGUGGCGGGUUCUCCACAACCACCAGUUCGCACCACACUUGUUCAGGCAAAUCCAGGAGAGCUUGAAGUGAGCAGGGAACAGUUACGUGUGCAGAGAAGUGCCUGAUCGUGGGUGUACAUCAAGUGACAGACAAAGACCUGGCUCCUCUUCCUCUUUUAGCACUGGUUUGGCCUUGGGCAAGCCACACUGGAUGGGGGAGGAGAUUCAAUGUAGCAUGUUAUAACUGAGUUCAUGCAGAGGGUCUCCUGCGUGUGUCAGUGCUAAGGUGAAGCAGAAGCAGAUGGUGACAUGUGUCAGGUGUAGUCAGCCUAUUUUCCAGGUGCAUCGUGGUGUGAUUCACCAAAAACAAUGUUCUGUUGCCAAACACUUGCUUAGGAGAGAGCUUUUGUUCUGCAGGCUUUGGGUUUUUCACUGUUGAUGGGUUUGGCUGUAUGGAAAUGUGAAAUGAUGAGAUUUAAUAAAGUACACCAUUAGCUA
This is a long non-coding RNA of Pezoporus occidentalis (night parrot), 1964 nucleotides long. RefSeq lists it as uncharacterized. The transcript is spliced from 2 exons. The record is from RefSeq and is a predicted model, not a curated record. NCBI's taxonomy places the organism in Eukaryota, Metazoa, Chordata, Aves, Psittaciformes, Psittacidae.